This is a long non-coding RNA of Passer domesticus (house sparrow), 1916 nucleotides long. RefSeq lists it as uncharacterized. The transcript is spliced from 4 exons. The record is from RefSeq and is a predicted model, not a curated record. Lineage: Eukaryota; Metazoa; Chordata; Aves; Passeriformes; Passeridae.
GGCAAAAUCCUGUGUAGAUAAAUCCACUCGAUACACAUUUGCCUGUUAUUUCUUUUGUGUACAGAUACAGGAAAUAUGGCAGUUGUUUUGUCAAGAUGAAAUAUUUCCCAACGCCAGAAGUAAAUCUCCACACUUUCAUCAGUGCCUGGGAGCCUGGAGUGCUGCCACAUCUGGGUGCAGGUGGGAUGAGGGAGAGAGGGGAACAGGAGUGGGUUUGGCACCACCAUGGAACAUCGUGGGACACAGCUUGGAAAUGCCUUCAUCCCUGGGAGCUGAAGGAGGCACCCAGCUCCCUCUGGGAGGCUCAUUCAGAUUCCUUACUGGAAAACUCUGCCUCCUCUCACUGGGAAAAAAACCCCAGUGAUCCAAACUACCCUGGCUUUCCUAAAAAUCAGACCCAUAAGGGUGGGGUCUGGGAGCUUCAAGUCACCUGUUGAUCAGGUAACCUCAGGAGGCUGCCAGCCCAGUGUGGAGAUCUUGUCAGAAAAGGUGGGCAAGUCAAUGAAAAUGGAGAGGUUUUGGAAGAAAAUUCAGCCUGUAAGGUCAGAUUCUGUGAUUCCAUGACCUUGGGUCCGGCCUGGAAUUCCAUCCCUGAAGAGAAACACGACAACCUCACAUUUAUCAGCAGCAGAGGGCGUCCAACGCACGCGUGUCCCCAAAUCCCGAGCUCCAACAGCAAAUCCGACGGCGGCCAAAAUUACCGGGAGCGCAGCCGAUGCUUCCCCGCCAAUUGUGCCGCUGCCCCGGGUUUCCUUCCCCGCUCCGUGCUCGGUGCCAUACGGGAGCUGCAGACCCGAUUGUUCGCCCUGUGGCCCCCGCAGACAGGAUACGAGCCCAGUGCCAGGUGCUCUGCUCAUAGAGGAGAACAGGAAUGUAAUAAAACAGCUUCUGUGGUCUCCUUCUCCUCAAUGCCAUGGCUACACCCUACCUGCAAAUUUGGAGCCUUCUCCUGUCCAAAGGGCAAGUUCAGCCUCAUGCAGUGCUUAUGGGAUUUCUCAGUGUUUGCAGCAACCAAGGGAGCCAGAAAAUCUGUUUUUCUCAGUAACACAGCUUCAAAAUUCACCCCAGAUCUCAGUGGCAGGCAGAGCUGGAAUGAUCCAGGAACUCUCCAUCCUGGAGCUUUGGGAGGAGCACCUGACACCCACCUCCUCUGCACUGACCUUCACCCUUGGGUGUGCCUGCACUAAGCUGCUCUUCUCUGGCAGUUCACUCACCCCAUUUCUUGCUGCCUGUCACCUUUCCUCUCUUCCCUUGUAAUUUUGUGGUGACUCACUGCCAGGUUAUGCCAUGCCCAGUACAAUCCCUUUGGAUCCUCAGAGAGGAUGCCCACAGUCUGCAGAGUGAGCACAGCCUUGACCUUUGAGGGCAGGAGACAGGGGCCAAGAGGGAUUUAGGCUUCUGAAAGGCCAUUGUCACCCAUGUGGGACCAGCUCAGGGCUGUAGUCAAGGAGAGAAGAGAAGAGAAGAGAAGAGAAGAGAAGAGAAGAGAAGAGAAGAGAAGAGAAGAGAAGAGAAGAGAAGAGAAGAGAAGAGAAGAGAAGAGAAGAGAAGAGAAGAGAAGAGAAGAGAAGAAGGAUUUCCAGGGGAAAACACUAAGAUGGUGCUGAGGACACAGAAAACUGUGGGUUAUCUGCAGUUCUGCCUGUUCAUGGCAAGCGAAGAUGUUGGCUGAGUUGGGUAUGCAGCUUCUGCCUUUCCCCAGCCUCAAAGGAUGAUUCUGGACCCAAAUCACAGGCAUUUUCUCCCAAAUGCAGAAUAUCUGCUGCAGAGAUUCCCACUCAGAAUGCAGCUAAUGCCCACUGUUUUCCUGGCUAACUUCACUGAAGGAAGGGCUUUAGUAACAUUUCUAGUCCAGUUGGGUUUCCCUGGUUUAUUCAUUGUUUACAGAGGAAAAUAAAUCCUUUGACCUGUGAAAA